CCCCUUCCUCAUCUAAUUCACAUCACCCCAAAAAGAAUAACACUCACAAUUCAAUUUCUUCAGCUGCUAGAAUUUCUGCAGUACUCUUCCCAAUCCCAGAUUUUCGAAUCCAAUUCAUACGGAUACAGAUAGCAUAAACCUCAUCAAGGUUUGCUUUCUUUCCUACCCAGCUUUCUGCAUCAAUUAUAUUGAUGUCUCCUCGAACUAACCAAUAUUCAAUGAUUUCAAUUUCAACAAAACACAUACGUUUUCUUUACUUUGGAUCUCAUCACCUGCAAGAAUACCUAAUGACCAUAUCGAAACAGGGUAUAUAUAUAUGGGUACACAGAACAACUUGCAUAAAAUGUUGAAAAGAAGCUAUCUUUUUCAUGUAUAUGUGGGUGUGUGCUGCUGUGUGCGUGAGUUUUUCGAAGCUGCUGUCGCUGUUGUUGUGAGUCGGGAUGUGUGAGUUGGUGGAGGAGGCAGUCGAAGGAGGCGACCCUCGUUGCAGUCGAUCGGCGAGGAGAGGGCUGAGGUUGUGAGGUUGCUGAGCCGUGAACACAGGGAUCGGCGGUGGCGGUGGCCUAUUAGCUGCUGCUGCGUGCCGGUUGGACGGAGAGAAGGGUUAGGCGAGAGGCGAAGGAGGCGGAGGUUCCGGCUGUAAUGUCGCCGGAAAUCGUAGGGGGAAGCAGCUAGGGUUUCUGAUUUGGGGAUUUAGGAUUUCUGCAUUUGGGGGUUCGGUGAAUUGAGGGAGGAGAGAGAAAGAUAGAGAGAGACGGGGCGGCGGUGGUAAACGCCGGCGACGCGCCGCCGGAUUCGUGGGAGGCGGCGGUGGCGUAAGAGGGAAGAAGAGAGGAACCUAAGGAGAGAGAGAGAUGGGGAGUUCUUGUGUUGUGUCUGUGUGUGCGCGUUGAAAAAGAAGAAAAGAAAAAAUGAGGGAGAGAUUGAUGAGUUGAGUUGGGCUCAAGCAUUGGGCCUUUAAUUUAAUGAAGUGGGCUGCACUUUUAUAACUUGGGCUAUGAAUUAUAUUUUGGGCUGUAUUUUUAUAUGAAGAGAGCCUCUUAUUAAAUUACUAAUUGGGCAAUGAAUUUACUUAUUUGUGAAUUGAGUUGUUAGACUCUUAAUUGAGUUUAACUAAGUAUUUAAACAUGAUUGCAUAUGCAUAUGUAUUGGAUGUAAUUACCGAAAUAUGUGUUUUAAUGCAUAAAAAGAAUUUGCAUUAUACAUUUUGCAUAAAAGCAUUUAUGAGUAAAUUGAGUUUUUAAAGUAAAAGCCGAGCAAAGGUAUUAUUGAAACCCUUAGCCAAGAAAAAUGAUUUUUAAGUUUUAUGUUGAAUUUUUGAAAACUCGGGUGUUCCGAAUCUAGUUAAAAAAUGAUGACAAGUCAUGAGUUUAACGACUAUGAGUUUAAGUUGAGAACUUAUCUUGUAGGUCCUACAGAAGAGGAUAUUUAGGCUCUUGAUCAGCUGAGUUAUAUUGUUUGGAUUUUCUCCAAAUCAAGUGAGGCUUUAUUUAUGAAAUGUAUGUUUGAGCUAAUAAGCUCGUUUUUAUGAAAUGUUAAAGUUGAUGGUUCAUGCUUAAAAUGUUUUUGCUCUCUAUUGGUUAUUGCUUCUACUAGAACAUUGUUGGCUCCGCCAACCAGAACAUUGUUAGCUCUGCUAACCAGAAUUGUGUACGUACACCAGAACCUAUUGUCUCGAGAGAUUCGGUGACAACCAGUUGUAGAUAGCACGCCCAAUAGAUGAGCCAGGAAAAUAUGAGCUCAGAUUAUUUUAGUGUGCAUGGAAUGACUCAUUUUUA
Molecule: long non-coding RNA, 1778 nt
Filed under: Salvia miltiorrhiza (redroot sage)
Lineage: Eukaryota; Viridiplantae; Streptophyta; Magnoliopsida; Lamiales; Lamiaceae
Description: long non-coding RNA (SMIL_LNC006884)
Source: RNAcentral